GUCCCCAGAGGACUUCCUCCAGGUUUGAUGGACACCCUCUGCGUUUGACAAGUUACAAAUUCUCCUACGUGAACCAGCAUUUGGCUCACAUCUUCCUAUAAGUUUAUUGCAAAGUUCAUAAAACAAAGUCGGACCAGAUGGUUUCAAUGCCCAGGCUCAGCCGAGGGGAACCAUCCUCAGAAGCCGAGGCGCAGGUUUGGAUGAAGCAUGGGCUCCCGUUGUUUCUGUUUUAACUGGGGCACUUGGCCACCUGCUCUGCUCACUGCUAUCUCAGUGACCCAGGCUGAGGGCUCCCUGGGGUCACUGUCCCCCCAUCAGUCAGUGACAGUCCAGGGGAAACGGCUGACAAUGCCAGCUGAGCCCAAGCGGGAGUGACGUCUGAUGCUGAAGGAACUCAGCUGGGAGCCGCACCCCAGGCCUCACCCCAUGUGUAGCUCGGGGAGACAGGCACCAUGAUAUGGGAACCACGCAUCCAGGGUCUCACCACAUGGGGGGCAACCUGGAGCGCUAGGGUGGCUAGGACCCAGGCUCUGGUUUGAGUACUUAGCUGUGUCACUCCACAAGGUCCCUUUCCUUCUCUUAGUCUCAGUCUCCUCAUCUGUUAAAUGGGGAUAAAUACUAUUGACCUUUUAGGGACUUGAAUUUCAUGAGAUAAGGUAGAGAGGGUGUAUAUAGGGGACAAGUUGCCAGCAAAUGUGUUUUAUCUGGCAUUAUAGCAUUAAAAAAAAUUAAGCCAGUUUUCAAAAGUCAAGAGGUUUCCCUUAAUAUUUUGGAUCUGGAUUUCUCUCGAAGAAUUGGAAGAUUUGGCAAUGUUAGGCCUUCUUUUCCAGCUUUUUGCACAUGGCAGCAAUAUAGGGGACCAUUAAGGACUGUCCCCCUUAGACAGGCAUCCAUUCCAAUGGCUGUGGUCUCUGCCACUCACACAGCAUGCGUCUGGGCUCAGCAGCGUGACCUGCUUACCUGACAGGCCUGGGCACUGGAGCUCAUCACCCAGGCGCAGGCGUUAGAUUGCUCAGCCCUGUGUGACCCCUCAGGGCCUCAAGUUCAAGUUCCUCUCCUAUGAGACUAGCAUGAUAAUGGGUGAUUGCAAAAGCCAUGUUUGCUGUGGCUCUAGGUUGGUGUUCAAUGGGCUUGUGCUGCCUAAUGGCCACCCACGGUGACCUCAGCUGGGAGACGGAGCUGGAGACUGAGUUGGAGACCGGUGGGAGCUAUGGGAAUUCCAAAGUGCGAGGGGGCAACAAGCACAGCCCCUGUCUCAGAGGUCACCGCUCAAUUCCAAGAGGCCCCUGGGGAACCAUGGGGGCAGAGAGGACAUUGGCACGUGGCACUCAUUACAGAUAAGAAAUGUGUGUGGUAGAGGUCAUCUGUCACAGAGAUAUGCUUCCCUGCAGUACUGUAUCCCUCGGCCUCCCCUGUCUCCUCUACUCCAGGGGUCCUCAUGGGCUAAGCCAUCAGCCAUUGCUUUCCCUCUUCUCCAUCCUUCUCCCCCGAGUACUGGGGCCCUUGUCUGUGGAUUUCCCUGUGGAUCUCAGGAGCAAGGCCUCAGGUGGCAUGCAGCUUGGAAACUGACCUUGGUACCCUUCUGUCAAAACCCUGCUGGAGUUACACAGCAGCCC
Molecule: long non-coding RNA, 1616 nt
Filed under: Marmota monax (woodchuck)
Lineage: Eukaryota; Metazoa; Chordata; Mammalia; Rodentia; Sciuridae
Source: RNAcentral